Molecule: ribosomal RNA, 496 nt
Filed under: uncultured bacterium
Lineage: Bacteria
Description: partial 16S ribosomal RNA
Rfam family: Bacterial small subunit ribosomal RNA
Source: RNAcentral
GAUGAACGCUGGCGGCGUGCCUAAUACAUGCAAGUCAAGCGAACAGAUGAGGAGCUUGCUCCUCUGACGUUAGCGGCGGACGGGUGAGUAACACGUGGAUAACCUACCUAUAAGACUGGGAUAACUUCGGGAAACCGGAGCUAAUACCGGAUAAUAUAUUGAACCGCAUGGUUCAAUAGUGAAAGACGGUUUUGCUGUCACUUAUAGAUGGAUCCGCGCCGCAUUAGCUAGUUGGUAAGGUAACGGCUUACCAAGGCAACGAUGCGUAGCCGACCUGAGAGGGUGAUCGGCCACACUGGAACUGAGACACGGUCCAGACUCCUACGGGAGGCAGCAGUAGGGAAUCUUCCGCAAUGGGCGAAAGCCUGACGGAGCAACGCCGCGUGAGUGAUGAAGGUCUUCGGAUCGUAAAACUCUGUUAUUAGGGAAGAACAAAUGUGUAAGUAACUAUGCACGUCUUGACGGUACCUAAUCAGAAAGCCACGGCUAACUACGU